RNAcentral lists this ribosomal RNA (1194 nucleotides) under Lactiplantibacillus plantarum. RNAcentral describes it as "bacterial SSU rRNA". It matches the Rfam family "Bacterial small subunit ribosomal RNA", at positions 122 to 1303 of the family's 1533-position model. Lineage: Bacteria; Bacillati; Bacillota; Bacilli; Lactobacillales; Lactobacillaceae. The record is from RNAcentral.
AAACCUGCCCAGAAGCGGGGGAUAACACCUGGAAACAGAUGCUAAUACCGCAUAACAACUUGGACCGCAUGGUCCGAGCUUGAAAGAUGGCUUCGGCUAUCACUUUUGGAUGGUCCCGCGGCGUAUUAGCUAGAUGGUGGGGUAACGGCUCACCAUGGCAAUGAUACGUAGCCGACCUGAGAGGGUAAUCGGCCACAUUGGGACUGAGACACGGCCCAAACUCCUACGGGAGGCAGCAGUAGGGAAUCUUCCACAAUGGACGAAAGUCUGAUGGAGCAACGCCGCGUGAGUGAAGAAGGGUUUCGGCUCGUAAAACUCUGUUGUUAAAGAAGAACAUAUCUGAGAGUAACUGUUCAGGUAUUGACGGUAUUUAACCAGAAAGCCACGGCUAACUACGUGCCAGCAGCCGCGGUAAUACGUAGGUGGCAAGCGUUGUCCGGAUUUAUUGGGCGUAAAGCGAGCGCAGGCGGUUUUUUAAGUCUGAUGUGAAAGCCUUCGGCUCAACCGAAGAAGUGCAUCGGAAACUGGGAAACUUGAGUGCAGAAGAGGACAGUGGAACUCCAUGUGUAGCGGUGAAAUGCGUAGAUAUAUGGAAGAACACCAGUGGCGAAGGCGGCUGUCUGGUCUGUAACUGACGCUGAGGCUCGAAAGUAUGGGUAGCAAACAGGAUUAGAUACCCUGGUAGUCCAUACCGUAAACGAUGAAUGCUAAGUGUUGGAGGGUUUCCGCCCUUCAGUGCUGCAGCUAACGCAUUAAGCAUUCCGCCUGGGGAGUACGGCCGCAAGGCUGAAACUCAAAGGAAUUGACGGGGGCCCGCACAAGCGGUGGAGCAUGUGGUUUAAUUCGAAGCUACGCGAAGAACCUUACCAGGUCUUGACAUACUAUGCAAAUCUAAGAGAUUAGACGUUCCCUUCGGGGACAUGGAUACAGGUGGUGCAUGGUUGUCGUCAGCUCGUGUCGUGAGAUGUUGGGUUAAGUCCCGCAACGAGCGCAACCCUUAUUAUCAGUUGCCAGCAUUAAGUUGGGCACUCUGGUGAGACUGCCGGUGACAAACCGGAGGAAGGUGGGGAUGACGUCAAAUCAUCAUGCCCCUUAUGACCUGGGCUACACACGUGCUACAAUGGAUGGUACAACGAGUUGCGAACUCGCGAGAGUAAGCUAAUCUCUUAAAGCCAUUCUCAGUUCGGAUUGUAG